This is a non-coding RNA of Marmota monax (woodchuck), 449 nucleotides long. The record is from the annotation of a RefSeq genome assembly. NCBI's taxonomy places the organism in Eukaryota, Metazoa, Chordata, Mammalia, Rodentia, Sciuridae.
ACCCUGCAGCUCUGCACAGGAGCCCAGCCCUGGACUCCCAGCUCAGCCCACUCAGUGAUCAGGACUGAACACAGCUGCUCACCAUGGAGAGUGUGCUCAGCUGGGUCUUCCUAGUGGCUGUUUUCAAAGGUGUCCAGUGUGAGGUGCAGCUGGUGGAGUCUGGGGGAGGCCUGGUGCAGCCUGGGGGUUCCCUGCAACUCUCCUGUGCAACCUCUGGAUUCACCUUCAGUAACUACUGGAUGCACUGGGUUCGCCAGGCUCCAGGGAAGGGGCUGGAGUGGGUUGGAGAAAUUAACCCAAGUGGUGGUACAACAAACUAUGCCAACUCUGUGAAGGGCCGAUUCACCAUCUCCAGAGAGAACUCCAAGAACACACUGUACCUGCAAAUGAGCAGUCUGAGAACUGAGGACACAGCCACCUAUUACUGCACUAGAGACACAGGCGCCUAG